CACGUAGGGUGCGAGCGUUGUCCGGAAUUAUUGGGCGUAAAGGCGCGUAGGCGGGCCGUCAAGUCAGGGGUGAAAGCCCCCAGCUCAACUGGGGAAGUGCCUCUGAUACUGGCGGCCUCGAGGGAGGUAGGGGCGUGCGGAACUUCCGGUGGAGCGGUGAAAUGCGUAGAUAUCGGAAGGAACACCGGUGGCGAAAGCGGCGCGCUGGACCUCUUCUGACGCUGAGGCGCGAAAGCCAGGGGAGCGAACGGG
This 252-nucleotide ribosomal RNA is filed under the name uncultured bacterium. RNAcentral's name for it is "partial 16S ribosomal RNA". It matches the Rfam family "Bacterial small subunit ribosomal RNA", at positions 524 to 776 of the family's 1533-position model. The record is from RNAcentral.